UGCAAGUCGAACGGAGGCCCUAGCUUGCUAGGUGUCCUUAGUGGCGCACGGGUGAGUAACACGUGGGAACAUACCUUAUAGUACGGAAUAACUGCGGGAAACUGUAGCUAAUACCGUAUAUUCCAGUAAUGGGAAAGAUUUAUCGCUAUAAGAUUGGCCCGCGCAAGAUUAGUUUGUUGGUGAGGUAAAAGCUCACCAAGGCUACGAUCUUUAGCUGGUUUGAGAGGACGAUCAGCCACACUGGGACUGAGACACGGCCCAGACUCCUACGGGAGGCAGCAGUAGGGAAUAUUGGACAAUGGGGGCAACCCUGAUCCAGCAAUGCAGCGUGAGUGACGAAGGCCUUAGGGUUGUAAAACUCUUUCAUCGGUGAGGAUAAUGACAGUAGCCGAAGAAGAAGGACCGGCUAAUUCCGUGCCAGCAGCCGCGGUAAUACGGAAGGUCCUAGCGUUGUUCGGAAUUACUGGGCGUAAAGCGCAUGUAGGCGGAACAGAAAGUUAGAAGUGAAAUCCCUGGGCUCAACCUAGGAAUUGCUUUUAAAACUUCUGUUCUGGAAUUCAGGAGAGGAAAAUGGAAUUUCCAGUGUAGAGGUGAAAUUCGUAGAUAUUGGAAGGAACACCAGUGGCGAAGGCGAUUUUCUGGACUGAUAUUGACGCUGAGAUGCGAAGGCAUGGGUAGCAAACGGGAUUAGAUACCCCGGUAGUCCAUGCAGUAAACGAUGGGUGCUAGUCGUCGGACUUUUGUUCGGCGUCGUAGCUAACGCGUUAAGCACCCCGCCUGGGGAGUACGGUCGCAAGAUUAAAACUCAAAUAAAUUGACGGGGACCCGCACAAGCAGUGGAGCAUGUGGUUUAAUUCGACGCAACGCGAAGAACCUUACCAGCGUUUGACAUGGAAAGUGCCGGUUACAGAAUGGUAACCUUCAGUUCGGCUGGCUUUCGCACAGGUGCUGCAUGGCUGUCGUCAGCUCGUG
Molecule: ribosomal RNA, 972 nt
Filed under: uncultured marine bacterium
Lineage: Bacteria
Description: bacterial SSU rRNA
Rfam family: Bacterial small subunit ribosomal RNA
Source: RNAcentral